RNAcentral lists this RNase P RNA (389 nucleotides) under Bifidobacteriaceae bacterium. RNAcentral's name for it is "RNase P RNA component class A". It matches the Rfam family "Bacterial RNase P class A". Rfam says of the family: Ribonuclease P (RNase P) is a ubiquitous endoribonuclease, found in archaea, bacteria and eukarya as well as chloroplasts and mitochondria. Its best characterised activity is the generation of mature 5'-ends of tRNAs by cleaving the 5'-leader elements of precursor-tRNAs. The record is from RNAcentral. Lineage: Bacteria; Bacillati; Actinomycetota; Actinomycetes; Bifidobacteriales; Bifidobacteriaceae.
UGAGCCGGCUGGACGGCCGCGCCGGGCGCUCUUGCACCUGGCGAGGAAAGUCCGGGCUCCGCAGAGCGGGGUGGUGGGUAACACCCACCCGGGGUGACCCGCGGGAAAGUGCCACAGAGAAUAGACCGCCGCGGUCUUGGGGAACGCGUUCCUUUCUCUCGCGUUCGUUAGGGGAGCGGUAAGGGUGAAACGGUGGUGUAAGAGACCACCAGCGUUCGGGGCGACCUGGGCGGCUUGGUAAACCCCACCCGGAGCAAGGCCAGACAGGUGGCGUUUGAGGGCUGCUCGCCCGAGCCGCCGGGUAGGCCGCUUGAGGCUCACGGCAACGUGGGUCCCAGAUGGAUGGCCGUCUUCGAUGACAGAACCCGGCUUACAGGCCGGCUCAUCCC